This is a long non-coding RNA of Thalassophryne amazonica, 164 nucleotides long. RefSeq lists it as uncharacterized. The record is from RefSeq and is a predicted model, not a curated record. The transcript has 4 exons. Lineage: Eukaryota; Metazoa; Chordata; Actinopteri; Batrachoidiformes; Batrachoididae.
UGUGUUGUGAAAAGUUCUGAUAAAGAAUCCUUUUAGAUGGACUUGAAAAAUAUGUAGUCAUCUCUGAUGAACAAUUUGGUUUUAAAAGUAAACAUGGCACUGAUACGUGUAUCUAUGCUUUGAAAGAGGCAGUAAGAAAAUACAGUAGACAGAACUCCACUAUG